AGUAACACGUGGGUAACCUGCCCAUCAGAGGGGGAUAACAUUCGGAAACGGAUGCUAAAACCGCAUAGGUCUUCAACCGCAUGGUUUGAAGAGGAAAAGAGGCGCAAGCUUCUGCUGAUGGAUGGACCCGCGGUGCAUUAGCUAGUUGGUGAGGUAACGGCCCACCAAGGCCGUGAUGCAUAGCCGACCUGAGAGGGUGAUCGGCCACAUUGGGACUGAGACACGGCCCAA
This 231-nucleotide ribosomal RNA is filed under the name uncultured Carnobacteriaceae bacterium. RNAcentral describes it as "partial 16S ribosomal RNA". It matches the Rfam family "Bacterial small subunit ribosomal RNA", at positions 109 to 334 of the family's 1533-position model. The record is from RNAcentral. Lineage: Bacteria; Bacillati; Bacillota; Bacilli; Lactobacillales; Carnobacteriaceae.